GAUCCUGGCUCAGGACGAACGCUGGCGGCGUGCUUAACACAUGCAAGUCGAACGAGACGAUUUAGAAGCUUGCUUUAUUGAGUCGAGUGGCAAACGGGUGAGUAACGCGUAGACAACCUGCCGCAAAGAUGGGGACAACAGCUGGAAACCGGCUGCUAAUACCGAAUACGUUCUCUUUAUCGCAUGGUAGAGGGAAGAAAGGGAGGCUAUUCGGAGCUUUCGCUGAAGGGGGGCUUGCGUCUGAUUAGCUAGUUGGAGGGGUAACGGCCCACCAAGGCGACGAUCAGUAGCCGGUCUGAGAGGAUGAACGGCCACAUUGGGACUGAGACACGGCCCAGACUCCUACGGGAGGCAGCAGUGGGGAAUCUUCCGCAAUGGACGAAAGUCUGACGGAGCAACGCCGCGUGAACGAUGACGGCCUUCGGGUUGUAAAGUUCUGUUAUACGGGACGAAUGGCGUAGCGGUCAAUACCCGUUACGAGUGACGGUACCGUAAGAGAAAGCCACGGCUAACUACGUG
This 519-nucleotide ribosomal RNA is filed under the name uncultured bacterium. RNAcentral's name for it is "bacterial SSU rRNA". It matches the Rfam family "Bacterial small subunit ribosomal RNA", at positions 15 to 507 of the family's 1533-position model. The record is from RNAcentral.